ACAUAUGGGCAAUGAGUAAGCUAGGCUUUAAAAUCAAGAUCAUUGAUUAAAUAAUAUCAAGUAAAGUACAUUCACAGAUAUUUGGAGCUAAUUUAGCGGUAAAAUUCAAUUUGUUUAAGAUCAAAUAACCAGAGGUGAAAAAGUGAAGAUUUUAGGUUUUAGAAUCGGACUAAAAGCUAAGUGUAUCUCACUGAUGUUAAGAGCAGAGACUAAGGACAAUGGGGCGCCAAUAGCAUUAAGCCAAAUGUAUACAUAAUGUGAUUGUAUCCAAUUCAUUUAAAAUAUAAAUCAUGCACAUAAUUGUGAAGACCAAGAGCUAGACUGAAUGGCUCAAGACGAUGUUCAACAGGCCAAAAAGGUUCUCUCUCGAGAAUCCUAUCCUGUCCCGGACAACGCAAAAAUGAGAUACCAAGAAAAUUGAGCAUUUAAAUUUGAUAUAUUGUAAAUAAACUUAUUAUAUUUUCCUCUAUUGGUUUUUAUAACAAUUUUCACCUUUCAUUUUCAAUCUUCUAAGUCAUUAACUACAUUCCUCAAUCAUAAUAUUUCAUGCUUAUAUAAUUUAAUAGAACUGAAUGAAUAUAAAAUGUAUUUUAUUCAUCUAAUUGAAUAAAAUUUUUGAGUUGAAUCGCAUUUCCCAAGUUAUAAUAUUGGAAGCACCUAUAACAAGAUUAAGAAUUGUCAUGUCAUUGGAAGGAUGAUAUUGAGUAACCUAUAAUUUUUAGUUUAGAAUAAUGAAUCCAUCUGUUUAACGUAAUAGAAUGAAUUAAUCAAUCUAAAUCCCUAAGUACUAGGGAUUUCAUUCAAAUAAGUACAUUCCUUCAAAUUCAUUUCACUAAAAUGAACAAAUCCUGAGGAAUCUU
Long non-coding RNA from Nilaparvata lugens (brown planthopper), 860 nucleotides. RefSeq lists it as uncharacterized. The transcript is spliced from 3 exons. NCBI's taxonomy places the organism in Eukaryota, Metazoa, Arthropoda, Insecta, Hemiptera, Delphacidae. The record is from RefSeq and is a predicted model, not a curated record.